CAUAGAUGGAAAUUAAAAAAAGAAAAAGGCAAAUGAUAAAAGAAAUAAAUACAAACAGAAAAUAUCGAUAUUUACGUGAUUUGGCAAUUGCCUACAUCUGUAGAGAGAGUGAGAGAGAUGUAUGCCAGUAUAUAUAAAGAAACAAAAGUAUGGUUUUACAUCUUAUGUCUUCUCCAAACUAAAAAUCGAAAGCUUUGUGAUAAAACCCAAUCUACUCUUCUUCCAACAAGAAACU
Molecule: long non-coding RNA, 235 nt
Filed under: Ananas comosus (pineapple)
Lineage: Eukaryota; Viridiplantae; Streptophyta; Magnoliopsida; Poales; Bromeliaceae
Description: long non-coding RNA (ACOM_LNC027095)
Source: RNAcentral